Molecule: long non-coding RNA, 778 nt
Organism: Portunus trituberculatus (swimming crab)
Lineage: Eukaryota; Metazoa; Arthropoda; Malacostraca; Decapoda; Portunidae
Exons: 4
Source: RefSeq, a predicted model, not a curated record
AGAUGUCUCACUGUAUUGAAUCAACAAAGCAAUGAGGAGCCGUGGCCACUGAGGGCGUUGAUCCUGCCUGGGACGGACGUGUGUGACCGGAUUCCGUGAUACUUCGCAGCUGUGGCCUUCCCUGAAACUGCUUGGCCUCCUCAGUUGUCCACCUUGCCCUUCUGUUCAUCUGGGAAACUUCAAGACAGACAGAUGCAAGCAGCAGCAUACACAACACCUCACUGCGUUUCAUAAGAGGUUUAACUGAGAUGGACAUAAUCAAGACUCUCGAGACUUCAAAUCCCAGAAUUCGAGACGGUACUGAAGCACUGCUAACACCUGGGACCCUAAUACAGGCAGUGAUGUACGCUCGUGGCCCACUCCUCACUCCCUCUUUGCUCCCUCUUUGUUACCUUCCUCUGAUAAGUCUUCGCUCUCCACCUCGUCUGUGAUCCCUCGUAGCUGCAUUGUGGACCGUUCGAGAGCAUGGAUACUUCGGCCGUGCAGCGAUAAAGGAUGUGACAGAUAAGCCACAUAGAUCCGCCACAAAAAUGUCAGUCCUGUCUGUCCACACCUGCCUCUACACAUGUUGCAAGACCAUAAAACCGAGUGACGUUGCGGGCAACAACAGCCAGCCCAGCCUCUACGAUUCCGCUGCAGCUUCAAAGAAGUCCUCCACAACAGAGGAGGAGGGAUGCUGCUGAGAUAGUGUCUCCACACCAGAUCGGAAGAAGCAUCUUCAGUGUUCCUUCUCCUCCUGUAAAUCCGUCGGAGAAGUAGUAGUAUCUUCUCUCUUCAG